RNAcentral lists this unclassified non-coding RNA (151 nucleotides) under uncultured Tremellales. Its description in RNAcentral is "sequence contains ITS1". Lineage: Eukaryota; Fungi; Basidiomycota; Tremellomycetes; Tremellales. The record is from RNAcentral.
GUGAAUAACGUGUUGGUCUUCGCUUCGGCAAGGCCCUCACACCCUCACAUCCAUAACACCUGUGAACUGUAAGAUGUGGUGAACUCGUUCGCCCAUCUGCCCUUUUUAUAAACAUCUUUAGUAACAAAAGUAGUCUUAUUAUAAUCUAAUA